Molecule: unclassified non-coding RNA, 277 nt
Filed under: uncultured fungus
Lineage: Eukaryota; Fungi
Description: sequence contains ITS1, 5.8S rRNA gene
Rfam family: 5.8S ribosomal RNA (bases 229-277)
Source: RNAcentral
UCUCCGUUGGUGAACCAGCGGAGGGAUCAUUACAGAGUCGUAAAACACUCCCAAACCCAUGUUAACUUACCAAUGUUGCCUCGGCAGUAGUUGCUGGGCGAGCCUACCCGGGAACGAGCUACCCUGUAGCGAGUUACCCUGGAACGGCUUACCCUGUAACGGCUGCCGGUGGACUACCAAACUCUUGUUAUUUUAUUGUAAUCUGAGCGUCUUAUUUUAAUAAGUCAAAACUUUCAACAACGGAUCUCUUGGUUCUGGCAUCGAUGAAGAACGCAGC